ACUCCUACGGGAGGCAGCAGUGGGGAAUAUUGCGCAAUGGGGGAAACCCUGACGCAGCAACGCCGCGUGAGUGAUGAAGGCCUUUGGGUCGUAAAGCUCUGUUAGGUGGGAAGAAGUGUAGUGUAAUAAAUAGUUACAUUAUUUGACGGUACCACCAGAGGAAGCCCCGGCUAACUCCGUGCCAGCAGCCGCGGUAAUACGGAGGGUGCUAGCGUUGUUCGGAAUUACUGGGCGUAAAGCGGGUGUAGGCGGUUUGUUAAGUCAGAUGUGAAAGCCCACGGCUCAACCGUGGAAGUGCAUCUGAAACUGGCAGACUUGAGUACCGGAGAGGGAAGUGGAAUUCCUGGUGUAGGGGUGAAAUCCGUAGAUAUCAGGAGGAACACCGGUGGCGAAGGCGACUUCCUGGACGGAUACUGACGCUGAGAUCCGAAAGCGUGGGGAGCAAACAGGAUUAGAUACCCUGGUAGUCCACGCCCUAAACGAUGGGCACUAGGUGUAGCGGGUGUUGACCCCUCCUGUGCCGCAGCUAACGCAUUAAGUGCCCCGCCUGGGGAGUACGGCCGCAAGGUUAAAACUCAAAUGAAUUGACGG
Molecule: ribosomal RNA, 591 nt
Filed under: uncultured bacterium
Lineage: Bacteria
Description: bacterial SSU rRNA
Rfam family: Bacterial small subunit ribosomal RNA
Source: RNAcentral